GGCCCCGGUUAACCCUCUAGGGCGCUCUGCCAGCCCCGCACCCCUCCAACCUUCCAUCCCCCGCCUCGCGCGCGUGGGGAUCCACGUGGCUGUCACUUUUGGAGCCGUGCUGGGGGACCUGGACGAUAACUGAGGCCCGAGUCGGAGCGCUGGAGGUCCAGCCGAGAGGGCUUGGCGCAGUCCGCCCGUUAUCUCCGGACGCGCUCAUCCCCCUGCGCUGGCCGUGGUCCCCGCUGUUACCUCUGCAGCAGCCUCUUCUUCCUGCAGUGAGGUUCUUCCUCUCAGCCUCCCUGAGAGCUGGGCCGGCGGCCGCGGCUUUCCCUGCGCAGAGGACCUGAGCAGGCUGUUGGGACAUUGCCAAGCCGACCAAAGAGACGUGACUGCCUCAAAGACCGCCGGCGCAGGGUGGCCCUGGGAAGGAGGGACACAGGCAAAGGGUGUAAAGUACGGACUAACUUCCCUACAAAGCGGAUAUUCAAAAUGAACAACUGCCUUCAGAGAAAGCAGAAAGCCACUAAAGCAGAUGCUUGAAAUCUUUGCUGGAGGCCUUGUAAAAAGUUAUGCACUUGUCUUAGUUCUUUUGAGGAAUCUGGAGGUAAAGAACACAAAGCGAAAGAGACAAGAGACAGUGACAGACUGAACCAUUGGAGAAUAUAGCCCAGAGGUGGGAUGAGAGAAGGCCUCACUGGGCUGUGCUGGGCUGUCUAGGCUGCAACUAGCUUCCCUGCCCCAGCCCAUAAAGCUGCAACAAGACUGAUUAGAAAUGAUACAAUUAGACUCAGGUGAUUAGUUCAAGUAGAAGCAAAGUUCAUCAGUCUUAAAUCUCCAAAUCUGCUCCAUAUCUGUUCUCAGCUGAUAUCCCUGGGCUAGCCUCUGUGUCUUCUUGUCCUCUCUGAUCUGUGCCAGUGGAGGAGACAUGGAACUUUUGCGACAAGUUGAACAACAGUGAUCCUCAGUAAUGAGGUUUCACAGGCCAGCCUGGGCAGAUCCAGUUGGAUGUGGAUUUGAGUCUUAGCCACACUCUUUCCUUCUGCAAUGCCAGGUACAUACCCCCACAAAUCUGGAAGCUGGAGUUUCAAGUUCAUGGUUGUGAUCUAGACAUUAGCAACUUAGAAGGCUCCAGCACAACUUUUGCUCCAAGUCUGCUUUGGCCACCGGAUGAAGAAUCCGGCUCCUCCCAGAAGAAGCUCCUCACCAUGGCUCCCAUGAGGAUUUUAUGGCCGGUUGCACAAGAGAGACAAAGGGCGUCUUUAAAUUACACAAUCCCCAGCAUACAGCCUUGGUCCCAUUGGUUGAUUUUUCUAUUUUCCCCAUGGUUCUCCUUGAUUGCUUUGCCUCUGGGACUUUUCCCCUUUGACCCAGCCUUUUGGAGCUUCUUAAUUCUUCCUGUUCUUGUCCUUCUUGAUUAAAAGAGUAAAAGAGAGAGAAACUGGAUCCAGAGAAUGAAGAUUGAGAAUCACUUUUAUUUUCUGUAAGAUGGAGAUGAUAAUUCCUAUCUCAGAAG
RNAcentral lists this long non-coding RNA (1504 nucleotides) under Heterocephalus glaber (naked mole-rat). Its description in RNAcentral is "lncRNA (ENSHGLG00100032145.2)". Lineage: Eukaryota; Metazoa; Chordata; Mammalia; Rodentia; Bathyergidae. The record is from RNAcentral.